Esox lucius (northern pike) is the source of this 576-nucleotide long non-coding RNA. The record is from Ensembl. NCBI's taxonomy places the organism in Eukaryota, Metazoa, Chordata, Actinopteri, Esociformes, Esocidae.
CCGGUGGAACCGCAGAGCGAAACGCUUUCAGAAUUCUGCGCAUUGUAAACCUGUGUAAUUGAAUACCACCGGUAUUAACGGAGAACGCGAGAGGAACAAGAUAGAGACAACGGAAGAAACGAAGAGUCUCCCCUCUGUCUCCCCCUCUCCGGGUGAUGACGGAGGUGUCCCCUCGUCAGAAACACAAGGGCUAUGUUGACAGCGCGGGACUGGAGGAGAUAAAGAGAAAGAGAGAGCAAGAGAGUUAACCAUCUGUGAAUCACAUCAAGGCAGCUGUGGUCAGAGUGGACUGCAGUUCAUCUCAAUCGAGAGGCGGAGAGGGGGGACAGAAUAAAGAAGAGGAGAGAGAGAAGGAGUGGGUGCCUUGGUGAGUUUCCAUGCCCAGGACAGUGAACCCUGGUUGGGGGGACUUUCAGGCGACAGUGGGGUUGGACAAGGCCCCUGUAGUUCCUGUAGAAAGAUGAGGAACUCUGAAAAGACAAUGUUUUUGCUGAGUGACUGAGCUAGCGAAAGAAAGUCUGACUUAAGGAUUCCGGGAUUACAGCAUGGAUUGACAUUUAUUUCUGCUCAAUGAAG